GGAGAGAAAAUUCUGGCGCUCCGUCAGGCGGUCUUCCGGUAGCGCCGGCACGCGGCGUCAUCACACGCAGACGUGUGAUGGGGCUUUCGCAGAGGGACUGGCGGUUUUCGGACUCAGCCCAGGCGGCGGGUCUUAGUUCUGGAAACAGGAGUACUAAAUGUCUUGUGUUCACUAUUGGUACUGCGGGAGCAGGCGGCGCUGGGCGCGGUUAUGUGGAAGGCUGAGUGAUUGCCGCUACUCUAAUCCCACCGGCUUCCUUGGUUCCUCUGUGAGAGCAAAUAUCCCCUUUUGGAAAUUACUCGACCUCAUCUCUGCGACGAGGGAUCUACGGCCCCGACAGCUCCCCUAGUGGGAGCUGGAGUGUGCGUCCUGCAGGAGUUGGAGCUGGCCGGGCUUCGUAAACUCCUUCACUUUUCCUUGUCACCUCUUAGGGCCAUUUCUAGUUUUUCUGAGCUGGUCUGUUGGAAUCGCGGGGCCUUUCAGAGCUGGACGAUGCUUGAGGUCAUCCUCUUUUAAAAUAAAAAUUUAAGUUCCAGGCAAAAAGUGCCACUUAGGGGAGGAGGGUGGUUGGAGAAGUGCGGUCACUGUCCUGAGCACAUCGCUGGGACCAGAAGAUCGUUAGACAAAGACCAGGAAGACAGGAGAGGUCCCUGGUAGGAGACGUUCUGAUGGUUACUCCCGCAUGGUGUCAGCAAUGAGGGGAACUGUGGUGGGGAAUUCAGGUGAGGGCCCGCAGCAAAUUCGGUUACAGCCGCUUUCCCCUUUCAAGCAUGGUGCCUCAGCUGCAGGGACUCCCUCCACCACGGGACCUAACUAGUGAUGGGCACCCUAGCAGCAGCCAGGAGGCACAAGCCAAAGAGAGAAGCAGCUGACAUGUGGUUGAGGAUCAGACAGGACAGGAAAAGUACUUAGAAUAGUCAGCACAAUCUCAUACCUGAAAUGUGACAAGUUUUAAGUGGGCAUAUGACCACCCACUACAGACCCCAUCCUCCCACCUGUCUGGUUUAUGAUUAUGGCCAAUAAGAAUCGAGUCAAAGGAAUGUGUGUCACUUAGAUGAAGCCAUGACAAAAAUAUAAUCCCUUGCCCUUUUCCUUUCUCUGCUGAGAGGUGUCCAUGGGAUCAGCCAACCUGAAUUCAGAAAUGGAAGUAUUGUGAAGAUGCCAGAGUUCCCCCCCUCCCAGCUCUGGAAAACUGAGCUCUGCAAAAUGAGAAAAAUAAAAACAUGUCUUGUUAAGGCCUCUGCA
This is a long non-coding RNA of Homo sapiens (human), 1245 nucleotides long. The record is from Ensembl. NCBI's taxonomy places the organism in Eukaryota, Metazoa, Chordata, Mammalia, Primates, Hominidae.